Molecule: ribosomal RNA, 440 nt
Filed under: uncultured bacterium
Lineage: Bacteria
Description: bacterial SSU rRNA
Rfam family: Bacterial small subunit ribosomal RNA
Source: RNAcentral
UAUGUGCCCUUCGGGGGAAAGAUUUAUCGCCAUUGGAGUAGCCCGCGUUGGAUUAGGUAGUUGGUGGGGUAAAGGCCUACCAAGCCUACGAUCCAUAGCUGGUCUGAGAGGAUGAUCAGCCACACUGGGACUGAGACACGGCCCAGACUCCUACGGGAGGCAGCAGUAGGGAAUCUUGCGCAAUGGGCGAAAGCCUGACGCAGCCAUGCCGCGUGAAUGAUGAAGGUCUUAGGAUUGUAAAAUUCUUUCACCGGGGAAGAUAAUGACGGUAUCCGGAGAAGAAGCCCCGGCUAACUUCGUGCCAGCAGCCGCGGUAAUACGAAGGGGGCUAGCGUUGCUCGGAAUUACUGGGCGUAAAGGGCGCGUAGGCGGAUAGUUUAGUCAGAGGUGAAAGCCCAGGGCUCAACCUUGGAAUUGCCUUUGAUACUGGCUAUCUUGAG